GACGAACGCUGGCGGCGUGCUUAACACAUGCAAGUCGAACGGAAAGGCCCUGCUUUUGUGGGGUGCUCGAGUGGCGAACGGGUGAGUAACACGUGAGUAACCUGCCCUUGACUUUGGGAUAACUUCAGGAAACUGGGGCUAAUACCGGAUAGGAGCUCCUGCUGCAUGGUGGGGGGUGGAAAGUUUCGGCGGUUGGGGAUGGACUCGCGGCUUAGCAGCUUGUUGGUGGGGUAGUGGCUUACCAAGGCUUUGACGGGUAGCCGGCCUGAGAGGGUGACCGGCCACAUUGGGACUGAGAGACGGCCCAGACUCCUACGGGAGGCAGCAGUGGGGAAUAUUGCACAAUGGGCGGAAGCCUGAUGCAGCAACGCCGCGUGCGGGAUGACGGCCUUCGGGUUGUAAACCGCUUUCGCCUGUGACGAAGCGUGAGUGACGGUAAUGGGUAAAGAAGCACCGGCUAACUACGUG
RNAcentral lists this ribosomal RNA (468 nucleotides) under uncultured bacterium. RNAcentral describes it as "partial 16S ribosomal RNA". It matches the Rfam family "Bacterial small subunit ribosomal RNA", at positions 28 to 507 of the family's 1533-position model. The record is from RNAcentral.